This 464-nucleotide ribosomal RNA is filed under the name uncultured bacterium. RNAcentral describes it as "partial 16S ribosomal RNA". It matches the Rfam family "Bacterial small subunit ribosomal RNA", at positions 28 to 507 of the family's 1533-position model. The record is from RNAcentral.
GACGAACGCUGGCGGCGCGCUUAACACAUGCAAGUCGAGCGGUAAGGCCUCUUCGGGGGUACACGAGCGGCGAACGGGUGAGUAACACGUGGGUGACCUGCCCUCAGCUCUGGGAUAAGCCUGGGAAACUGGGUCUAAUACCGGAUAUGACCACAUGUUGCAUGGUGUGUGGUGGAAAGUUUUUUCGGCUGGGGAUGGGCCCGCGGCCUAUCAGCUUGUUGGUGGGGUGAUGGCCUACCAAGGCGACGACGGGUAGCCGGCCUGAGAGGGCGACCGGCCACACUGGGACUGAGACACGGCCCAGACUCCUACGGGAGGCAGCAGUGGGGAAUAUUGCGCAAUGGGCGGAAGCCUGACGCAGCGACGCCGCGUGGGGGAUGACGGCCUUCGGGUUGUAAACCUCUUUCGACCGGGACGAAGCGUAAGUGACGGUACCGGUAGAAGAAGCACCGGCCAACUACGUG